This 460-nucleotide ribosomal RNA is filed under the name uncultured bacterium. RNAcentral's name for it is "partial 16S ribosomal RNA". It matches the Rfam family "Bacterial small subunit ribosomal RNA", at positions 338 to 795 of the family's 1533-position model. The record is from RNAcentral.
CCUACGGGGGGCAGCAGUGAGGAAUAUUGGUCAAUGGACGAGAGUCUGAACCAGCCAAGUAGCGUGAAGGAUGACUGCCCUAUGGGUUGUAAACUUCUUUUAUAUGGGAAUAAAAUGUUCCACGUGUGGGAUUUUGUAUGUAACAUAUGAAUAAGGAUCGGCUAACUCCGUGCCAGCAGCCGCGGUAAUACGGAGGAUCCGAGCGUUAUCCGGAUUUAUUGGGUUUAAAGGGAGCGUAGGUGGAUUGUUAAGUCAGGUGUGAAAGUUUGCGGCUCAACCGUAAAAUUGCAGUUGAAACUGGCAGUCUUGAGUACAGUAGAGGUGAGCGGAAUUCGUGGUGUAGCGGUGAAAUGCUUAGAUAUCACGAAGAACUCCGAUUGCGAAGGCAGUUCACUGGACUGCAACUGACACUGAGGCUCGAAAGUGUGGGUAUCAAACAGGAUUAGAUACCCGAGUAGUC